This 751-nucleotide ribosomal RNA is filed under the name Roseateles depolymerans. Its description in RNAcentral is "bacterial SSU rRNA". It matches the Rfam family "Bacterial small subunit ribosomal RNA", at positions 28 to 776 of the family's 1533-position model. The record is from RNAcentral. Lineage: Bacteria; Pseudomonadati; Pseudomonadota; Betaproteobacteria; Burkholderiales; Sphaerotilaceae.
AUUGAACGCUGGCGGCAUGCCUUACACAUGCAAGUCGAACGGUAACGCGGGGCAGCCUGGCGACGAGUGGCGAACGGGUGAGUAAUAUAUCGGAACGUGCCCAGUCGUGGGGGAUAACUGCUCGAAAGAGCAGCUAAUACCGCAUACGACCUGAGGGUGAAAGCGGGGGAUCUUCGGACCUCGCGCGAUUGGAGCGGCCGAUAUCAGAUUAGGUAGUUGGUGGGGUAAAGGCCUACCAAGCCGACGAUCUGUAGCUGGUCUGAGAGGACGACCAGCCACACUGGGACUGAGACACGGCCCAGACUCCUACGGGAGGCAGCAGUGGGGAAUUUUGGACAAUGGGGGCAACCCUGAUCCAGCCAUGCCGCGUGCGGGAAGAAGGCCUUCGGGUUGUAAACCGCUUUUGUCAGGGAAGAAAUCCUUUGGGCUAAUAACUCGGAGGGAUGACGGUACCUGAAGAAUAAGCACCGGCUAACUACGUGCCAGCAGCCGCGGUAAUACGUAGGGUGCAAGCGUUAAUCGGAAUUACUGGGCGUAAAGCGUGCGCAGGCGGUUAUGCAAGACAGAUGUGAAAUCCCCGGGCUCAACCUGGGAACUGCAUUUGUGACUGCAUGGCUAGAGUACGGUAGAGGGGGAUGGAAUUCCGCGUGUAGCAGUGAAAUGCGUAGAUAUGCGGAGGAACACCGAUGGCGAAGGCAAUCCCCUGGACCUGUACUGACGCUCAUGCACGAAAGCGUGGGGAGCAAACAGG